Molecule: unclassified non-coding RNA, 2121 nt
Filed under: Leishmania donovani
Lineage: Eukaryota; Euglenozoa; Kinetoplastea; Trypanosomatida; Trypanosomatidae
Description: gene:LdHU3.14.0240(CDS-product:carboxypeptidase_p utative)
Source: RNAcentral
CAAGUCCGCCCACUGUGCGCACACGACACCUCUAUCGCUCUUUUCCACUGCCCACCCGCCCACCCCUACCCCUCCCACACCUCAGCGACACCAUGCAGGCGUACGAAGAGCUGAAGCAGCUGCAUCGAAAGCUGCACAACCUUCGGCACCUUCUUGCCCUAGGUGAGUGGGACAUGCAUACCAUGAUGCCGCCGAAGGGCGCAACGGCUCGCGCGAACGCGCUUGCGGAGCUGGAGGCACACGUGCACCAGCUUCACACAGCGCCACGCGUUGCGCUCCUUUUGAAGGAGGCGCUGCUGGUUAAGGACGAACUCGCCGAGGUGGACCGCGCGAACCUCCGCGAAAUGGUGCGCCUGCACGAGCUUGCGUCGCAGCUGCCGGAGGAGCUGCUGCGGCGCAGGACGCGGCUGACAACGCUGGCGCAGCAGCUGUGGGUAAAAUGCCGCGCGGAAAACGACAUUGCUGCGUGGCUGCCGACGCUGCAGGAGCUGGUGGACCUCGAGCGCGAGGAGGGCCGCCUUCGAGCCGGCACAAGCGGGAAGUCCCCGUACGACGCGCUGCUCGGCGCCAACGAGCCCGGGAUGACGGUUGCGAAGCUGGACGCAAUCUACGCGGACAUCAAGUCUUGGCUGCCGGCGCUGUACAAGGAGGUGCUGGAGAACCGAAAGGACAUGGGCGCGAGCCUCACUGAGCUGCAGACGCCGAUCUCGAAGGAAAAGCAGAUUGCGCUUGGCCGGCAGCUGAUGACGGACGUGUGGAAGUACGACUGGGGCGCGGGUCGCUACGACGAGGCGCCGCACCCGUUUGGUGGGAUGGUGAAGGAGGACGUGCGGAUGACGUACUACUGGUCGCCGGACAACUACACCAAGUGCCUGCUGGCGACGAUCCACGAGACAGGACACGCCAAAUACGAGCAGAACUGCGGGCCGCGCGAGCUGCUUGGGCAGCCGGUGUGCGAGGCGCGAUCCGGCGGCAUCCACGAGACGCAGUCGCUGCUGGCGGAGAGGAUGAUAGCCAAGUCCGCUGCGUUCGCCGAGUACCUGACGCCGCUGCUGGAGCUGCACCUUGGCGCGCAGCCAGGGCUGACGGUGGAGAACGUGCGCAAGAUCAACCAGCUGGUGAAGCCGAGCUACAUCCGGACGCUUGCAGACGAGGUGGGUUACUCUCUCCACGUGAUCCUGCGCUACGAGAUCGAGCGCGACCUGAUCGAGGGGCGCCUGGAGGCGGUGGACGUGCCGCGGGUGUGGGACGAAAAGAUGAAGGAGUACAUGGGCCUGGAGACGCUUGGGCGCGACGACCUCGGGUGCCUACAGGACAUUCACUGGGCUGCCGGCUAUUGGGGGAGUUUUCCUGCCUACACGAUCGGCGCCAUCGGCGCUGCGCAGCUGAUGGCGGCCAUCCGCCAGCAGCUGGGUGACGACGUCGUGACGCAGUGCAUCCGCACGGGCCACAUCGACCCCAUCUUGGCCAAGCAGAAGGAGAUGAUCUGGGACCUGGGCUGCCUGCUCGAGACGGACGAGCUGCUUAUCAAGGCAACCGGCGAGCCGCUGAACCCGCGCCACCUGCGCGAGCACCUGGAGCGCCGCUACCUGCGCAAUGAGGACUGAGGAGUGGAAGCAGUGCUUGUUGCCGUCCUUUGAGCUUGCGUUCUGCUGUCUGGCCCCCUCCCCUUUCCCUGCCAGCGUCAGCAAGCCCCGGCCUCGCCGUGCGCGUGGUGCUCCGUGCAACCUUGUGUGUGUUCUGUCAUGCUCCCUCUCUCCUCGAGAUGACAUCGGCAAACUCCGUGUGCCCACGAUCGCAUGCGAAGGUAACUUUUAUUGAUGUUUUGAUUUCGUUUUUUUUUUGUUUGGUCUGAUUUUUCAGUGCACGAACGACGCGGUGCGCGGUCUGUGCCGUGGGUCGGUGUGGUAGACGACACGCACAGGCACACGCGCGUACGCAGAUGUCGGCACGUUUUUACUUUCCCUUUUUAUCGCUCUGAUUAUUCUGUUUUGACACGAUGCACCGCCGCCUCACUGCUGGCUAGCUGCUGCGCUGGGUCACUCAAAAGUCUUACAUCCACUCCGCUUCUAUAUACUAUUUCCGCCCACGCCCAUCGACACACCGGUGGGUGGGCCCCUC